CUACAACUAUAAAAUCCUUUCUAAACCCCUUUACUGUUUCUAUUUUCGAACCCAGGCCACAAAAUUUCGAUCCCUGUCAUAGUUUGAUCAAAUUUCACCAUGGAAUCUCUGACCGCGAAUUCGGUGCCGCCAUUUCUGAGCAAGACUUACGAUAUGGUGGACGACCCCUCCACCAAUUCGGUGGUGUCGUGGAGUAGCAGUGAUAAUAGUUUUGUGGUGUGGAAUGUACCGGAGUUUCAGAGGGACCUUUUGCCGAAGUAUUUCAAGCACAGCAAUUUCUCUAGCUUUGUCAGACAGUUGAAUACUUAUGGUUUCAGGAAAGUUGACCCAGAUCGCUAUGAAUUUGCAAAUGAGGGGUUCUUAAGAGGACAAAAGCAUCUCUUGAAGAGUAUAUCUAGGAAAAAGUCACUUCAUGGACAGAGUAAUCAACCGCCUCAGGUUCAGAGCUCUAAGGUUGCAGCAUGUGUUGAAGUUGGGAUGUUUGGACUAGAGGAAGAGGUUGAAAGACUGAAACGGGACAAGAAUGUGCUUAUGCAGGAACUUGUUAGAUUGAGGCAGCAGCAGCAAGCUACAGAUAACCAGUUGCAAACUGUGGGGCAACGUGUUCAGGCAAUGGAGCAGCGACAGCAACAAAUGAUGUCAUUCCUUGCAAAGGCCAUGCAAAGCCCAGGCUUCUUAAAUCAGCUUGUACAGCAGAAUAAUGAAAGCAACAGGCUUGGGGGCACUAAAAAGAGGAGACUUCCAGGGCAGGAGGAAGAAAAUUUGGCAGUUAAGUCUGACAGUAAUUCUUCCAAUGGCCAGAUUGUGAAAUUCCACUCUUCAAUGAAUGAAGCAGCAAAAGCUAUGCUGCACCAGAUCCUGAAGAUUAAUUCAUCAUCUAGGCUGGAACCAUCAAUAAACAAUUCUGGUCCUUUCCUGAUUGGUAAUCUUUCUUCUUCCAAUGCAUUAGACAGCAACAAUGCUUCAAGUCGGAUCUCAGAAUUGAUGAUUUCAGAUGUUCAACCAACUUCCGGACCUUCAUUUUUGCCUGUUGAGUCAGGGUUUUCUGUCAGUCAUCCAUGUAAUGCCAUUUCUGAGGUCCAAUCUCCAUCAUGUGCUGUAACUGACUGUGUUAAAACAGAUCAUAUUUCUGAGAUGACAAUGCAUAAUUCUGGGCAAGAUGCAAUUCUGCCUAACUUUGCUGAGAUACAAGGAGUUGUGCCAGAAAGCUCUACUGGAAUUCCUAAUACAAAUUUUGUCAAUCCAACGAAUGGGGAUGGCGAGAACAUCAAUCCAAUGCUAUCCGUCUUGGAUGUAGCAACUUCUGAAGAAACUGAUGCAUUUUCUUCCAAUCAGGACACAGAUAUUUUGAUGGAUGGGAUACCUAAGCUUCCUGGCAUUAAUGAUGUGUUCUGGGAACAGUUUCUUACAGCAAGCUCACCCACGGUGGACACGGAGGAAAUUAAUUCAAGCUCAUUGCCUAGCCACAUGACCAGAGAACAGGAAUUGCAAUCAUGGCAGGAGAAUGGCCUGGACAAUAUUCAACAUAUGAAUCAUCUUACUGAAAAAAUGGAGCUUCUUAUAUCAGAGGCCAGGAUGGGGUGAAUUUUCACCAAUUGCAUAUAAGUUUCUUGCUAUCAAAGGUAAAUCUUAAAGCACCAUUACAAUGAUAAGCUGAAUCUGUCUCCUGUUGCUCAUUGUUACAGUCUGGUGAUAUAACUAAGUUUUGUCCUACUUUCAGAUUUUCAGCCUUGUAUCAGUCUAUUUCUGCAAAGCUAUUGUAGCUGUCAUAGGGUGUGCUUAAACAGACUUUGUUGUCCGAAUGAGGGCGUUGGUUGAUCAUUGAAGAAAAGAAUUUUGCCCUAUGCCAUAUAAAAUAGUUGCUGUUCUGCACUACCGAGCAUAUUAAAGCUUGCUUUUGUUUGUUGAGGGAUGGCUAGGCAAUUUUUUUUUUAGCAGACUUACUUUCACCUUUAUCAUGUGUACUAUGACAAUUUUGUCUAGGUUAUGUGUGAAACCCUUUUCAUUUUAAAUAUAUGUAGUGUUUUGUGGUAAAAAUGGAUAUGGAUUCCUUUUAAUAUGAAACAAACAAGCUUUGCUGUGUCUUA
RNA transcript from Hevea brasiliensis (rubber tree), 2087 nucleotides. It is a transcript of the gene named heat stress transcription factor A-1b, with no coding region annotated. The record is from RefSeq and is a predicted model, not a curated record. The transcript has 3 exons. NCBI's taxonomy places the organism in Eukaryota, Viridiplantae, Streptophyta, Magnoliopsida, Malpighiales, Euphorbiaceae.